AUUCCUGGCCAAGUGCUUAGGGCGUUGGACUUGAAAUACAAAUGGGUCUCCCCACGCAGGUUUGAACCCUGCUCACAGUGAUA
RNAcentral lists this transfer RNA (83 nucleotides) under Perca fluviatilis (European perch). Its description in RNAcentral is "tRNA-Ser". Lineage: Eukaryota; Metazoa; Chordata; Actinopteri; Perciformes; Percidae. The record is from RNAcentral.